AUCUCUUAACAAAUUGAUGUUGAUAUAUAAGGAAGAUAGUAAUUUUAAAAUAUUUCUGUCAUAAUUGCCAGUCUUUCUAAACUUUCUCAUAAGUUCUAAUAGUUUUCUUAAGCUUAUAAUCUUCAAAUAAUGAUAAUUUUGUCCCUUCCUAUCAAAUAUUUAUACCUCCUUCAUUUCUUUUUCUCAUUAUUGCAUUGAGUAGAACUUUCAGGAAAUUUUAAGUAAUGGUAAUAACACUCAAAUUAUUAAUUUUAAUGGAAAUGAUUCUAAUGUUUUACUGCUAAGAAUAACACUAGCUAUUUGUUUGAGAUGAAUAUUCAUGAACAUAAACAGAUUAAUGAAGGUUUUCUUUUUUUUUUUUUUUUUUUUUUUUGCUAUUUCUUUGGGCUCCUCCCGCAGCAUAUGGAGGGUGCUGCCUUAAAAAGACAAAAAAAAAAAAAAAAAAAGGAAUAUCAAAAUUUAAGAGAAGGAGAAGGAAGAUGACACAGCCAGAGAAGUAGGAAUGGAACUUACUCUAUUGGUCAGGAAAACAAGAGGAGGAUAGAAUUUCAGGAAGAGACUGGUCAAUAGCAUCAAAUGGAGCAGAUGUUUCCAGGAAGAUACGGGCUAGAAAGUGUUCUCUGGAUUUGCCAAGCCUCACUGAGGACCUCCCCCGAAGCAACUGCAGCAGAAGGCUGCGGGUGAAACCUGCUGGGCUGUGCAAGAUGCCCAGCGUUAUGCUCCUCAGCUUCUUUCUUUCCAAAGGCACCCUCACCUCCUGGACGGCUGCUGCCUCUGCUGAGUUCCUGGAGCCAGAACUGAAGCCCCGACCUGUGUGACCUGCACACCCUCCCAUCUGCACUGGUUUGCUCUCAGGACGAAAUGCCACACCGCAGGGCAUGUGAUCGCACUCUGGAGCUCACCUCAGUGGACAGGACGAUGCCCCAUAGAAGCGGCGCAGGGGAAGUUCAGGACAGCUUUCAUCUCGUGGAGCAACCUUGACAAAUGGGAAAGGGGAGACGGGAGAGAGGUAGACGGAUGCAUUGUUCUCAGUUUCCUCUCCACAGACUCUUUCAUGAUUGUGAUUCCUACCCAUGACCAUGAAAAAAAUCACUGUGGCUCAAAGAAUCUACCUGCUAAAUGCCUGCGAUUUCUCAUUACAGCUUCUUGGAAGCAGUGCCAACAUGGCAACACAUUCCACUGCAACGGUUGACUUUUUCCUCACUUUCACCUUUUUAAAUUUGCACCUACUCCCCAAAAAAGAAUCAGCACCUUAAUCUUGACCUCAGACUCUAAAAUCUAGAGAAUUUGGGCUAAGACACAGUUGGUCAAUUAAAUAGGAGAAAGACUAUUUCAAUCAACUAAUCAAAAUGAUUUCAUUUGGACUGCUUGAGCCAGUAGAAAAAAUAGACCCAGAAAAGAACUGUCCAAUUGGAAGACGAAAAGAAUAUUAAACAUUCAUAUUAGAGCAUAUUAAUAUGUUGAGAUCACAUAUUUUCCCAGGUCAGGUUAUCCAAAGAACAUAGCAGUCUGGUUUGAUCCAUGAGCGACUAGCAAAAGUACUUGAAACAUCCAGCAAAAAACUAUCCUUCACAUGAUGUCUAUUCACUUUGCUACAACAGAACCAGCCUUUAACCCAAUUCGACUCAACAAACAUCUACUGGCCCCUGACAUAAGGCAGGCAGUGUCCUGGGCUUUGUGGAAGUAGGGCAGUUCCCAGGGGGAGGCUUCUCAGAUGAAUAAGACCCAGAUGUACCCUAAAGAUGAUAUAAUUUCAGAGGCAGAGAUAUGAUAAAGUACAAAGAGCAUUAAUAUAGAAGGUCAUACAAAAUAUUGAAAGUACAGAUUUUAUUAGUAUCAAAGAAAGAAACAUAUAAAACACUAAAGUCGAAAGAGGGAGAGAAGUUCCCAUUGCGGCUCAGCUGGUUAAGAUGAGUAUCCAUGGGGAUAAGGGUU
This 1935-nucleotide long non-coding RNA is filed under the name Sus scrofa (pig). RNAcentral describes it as "lncRNA (ENSSSCG00000053595.1)". Lineage: Eukaryota; Metazoa; Chordata; Mammalia; Artiodactyla; Suidae. The record is from RNAcentral.